This 99-nucleotide transfer RNA is filed under the name Amborella trichopoda. RNAcentral describes it as "tRNA AMTR_s03451t00273210". The record is from RNAcentral. Lineage: Eukaryota; Viridiplantae; Streptophyta; Magnoliopsida; Amborellales; Amborellaceae.
GUACUACUCGUAGAAGUACAAUUACUACUAGUACCACUCGUAGUAGUACAAGUACUACUAGUACUACUCGUAGUAGUGCAAGUACUACUAGUACUACUC